UGGGCCAAGUUUUAUUGGUUUAGUGAGGAAAUGGAGGGUUAUUUUUCCCAUGUUUAGAAAUCAAUCAUCCCCUGUAAUUAAGGCAUGGGAAAUUGAAGGUGGUUAUGGGUCCAUCCAUCACAUGCAUCUCCUGCCCUUUGCUUUGCAUGAUUGCAGACUACUACAUUGUUUUUUUAUCUUUCUUAUUCACCAUAUAUAUAUAACUACCAAUAAUCAAGUGUCACAUGGUACUUAUGUGAGCUCUCAC
Molecule: long non-coding RNA, 247 nt
Filed under: Gossypium barbadense (sea-island cotton)
Lineage: Eukaryota; Viridiplantae; Streptophyta; Magnoliopsida; Malvales; Malvaceae
Description: long non-coding RNA (GBAR_LNC016074)
Source: RNAcentral